RNAcentral lists this ribosomal RNA (806 nucleotides) under uncultured bacterium. RNAcentral's name for it is "bacterial SSU rRNA". It matches the Rfam family "Bacterial small subunit ribosomal RNA", at positions 8 to 796 of the family's 1533-position model. The record is from RNAcentral.
AGAGUUUGAUCCUGGCUCAGAACGAACGCUGGCGGCGUGCCUAACACAUGCAAGUCGAACGGAGUCAUUUUGAAGUAGCAAUACGGAAGAAUGACUUAGUGGCGCACGGGUGAGUAACACGUAGGUAACCUGCCCUUAAGAGGGGGAAAACCCGCCGAAAGGCGAGCUAAUACCGCAUAAGACCACGAACUGAGAUGUUUGUGGUAAAAGGAGCAAUCCACUUAAGGAUGGGCCUGCGGCCUAUCAGGUAGUUGGUGAGGUAACGGCUCACCAAGCCUAAGACGGGUAGCCGGUCUGAGAGGACGGACGGCCGCACUGGAACUGAGACACGGUCCAGACUCCUACGGGAGGCAGCAGUGGGGAAUUUUGGACAAUGGGCGCAAGCCUGAUCCAGCCAUGCCGCGUGCAGGAUGAAGGCCUUCGGGUUGUAAACUGCUUUUGUACGGAACGAAAAGACUCCUUCUAAUAAAGGGGGUCCAUGACGGUACCGUAAGAAUAAGCACCGGCUAACUACGUGCCAGCAGCCGCGGUAAUACGUAGGGUGCGAGCGUUAAUCGGAAUUACUGGGCGUAAAGCGUGCGCAGGCGGUUAUAUAAGACAGAUGUGAAAUCCCCGGGCUCAACCUGGGAACUGCAUUUGUGACUGUAUAGCUAGAGUACGGUAGAGGGGGAUGGAAUUCCGCGUGUAGCAGUGAAAUGCGUAGAUAUGCGGAGGAACACCGAUGGCGAAGGCAAUCCCCUGGACCUGUACUGACGCUCAUGCACGAAAGCGUGGGGAGCAAACAGGAUUAGAUACCCUGGUAGUCC